This 322-nucleotide ribosomal RNA is filed under the name uncultured eukaryote. RNAcentral describes it as "partial 18S ribosomal RNA". It matches the Rfam family "Eukaryotic small subunit ribosomal RNA", at positions 1470 to 1796 of the family's 1831-position model. The record is from RNAcentral.
CCCUUAGAUGUUCUGGGCCGCACGCGUGCUACACUGAGUGGAUCAGCGGGUCAGGUUACGCGAGAGCGUUUCCUAAUCUUCAAAUCCGCUCGUGAUGGGGAUUGACUGUUGCAAUUUUCCGUCAUGAACGAGGAAUACCUUGUAAGCGCGGGUCAUCAUCCCGCGCUGAAUACGUCCCUGCCCUUUGUACACACCGCCCGUCGCUCCUACCGAUUGAGUGGUCCGGUGAGGCUUUGGGAUCUAAGCGAAAAGAGCGUUUCGCUCCUUUUGCUGGGAGAACUCAGUCGAACCUUAUCAUUUAGAGGAAGGAGAAGUCGUAACA